Molecule: ribosomal RNA, 405 nt
Filed under: uncultured bacterium
Lineage: Bacteria
Description: bacterial SSU rRNA
Rfam family: Bacterial small subunit ribosomal RNA
Source: RNAcentral
UGGGGAAUAUUGCACAAUGGGGGAAACCCUGAUGCAGCGACGCCGCGUGAGUGAAGAAGUAUUUCGGUAUGUAAAGCUCUAUCAGCAGGGAAGAAAGAAGACGGUACCUGACUAAGAAGCCCCGGCUAACUACGUGCCAGCAGCCGCGGUAAUACGUAGGGGGCAAGCGGUAUCCGGAUUUACUGGGUGUAAAGGGAGCGUAGACGGAAUAGCAAGUCUGAUGUGAAAACCCGGGGCUCAACCCCGGGAGUGCAUUGGAAACUGUUGAUCUGGAGUGUCGGAGAGGCAAGCGGAAUUCCUAGUGUAGCGGUGAAAUGCGUAGAUAUUAGGAGGAACACCAGUGGCGAAGGCGGCUUGCUGGACGAUGACUGACGUUGAGGCUCGAAAGCGUGGGGAGCAAACAGG